Molecule: ribosomal RNA, 442 nt
Filed under: uncultured bacterium
Lineage: Bacteria
Description: partial 16S ribosomal RNA
Rfam family: Bacterial small subunit ribosomal RNA
Source: RNAcentral
CCUACGGGAGGCAGCAGUGGGGAAUAUUGGGCAAUGGGCGCAAGCCUGAUCCAGCAACGCCGCGUGAAGGAAGAAGGCAUUCGGGUCGUAAACCUCUUUUAAGAGGGAAGAGAAGAAGACGGUACCGCUUGAAUAAGCCACGGCUAAUCACGUGCCAGCAGCAGCGGUAAUACGUAGGUGGCAAUCGUUGUCCGGAUUUACUGGGUGUAAAGGGCGUGGAGCCGGGCCUGCAAGUCUGAUGUGAAAUCCCGAGGCUGAACCUUGGAACUGCAUUUGAAACUGUUGGUCUUGAGUAUUGGAGAGGCAAGCGGAAUUCCUAGUGUAGCGGUGAAAUGCGUAGAUAUUAGGAGGAACACCAGUGGCGAAGGCGGCCUGCUGGACGGUAACUGACGGUGAGGCGCGAAAGCGUGGGGAGCAAACAGGAUUAGAUACCCGGGUAGUC